Molecule: non-coding RNA, 2148 nt
Organism: Lolium perenne
Lineage: Eukaryota; Viridiplantae; Streptophyta; Magnoliopsida; Poales; Poaceae
Source: RefSeq, a predicted model, not a curated record
AAGAAGCGUGCUCACCCGUGACUGUCCUGUUGGUUCGCCUUUAAAGGCCAGCCGGCAGCCAUCUAAAUGUAGGAAGUAAGCAUUUAUAGGGCAGCUGGCAGCACAUCUUUUGCUGUGAUACUAAUCUAAGUAAGGUAGGUCUCGUUAGUGCAAUGGCUUCUUUAGACGAUGGAGCGCCCGGCCGCCGCCCCGCACCUCCCGCUCGCCUCUCCGGCUCUCUCGCAUCACGUUGCACGCAAGCCGAGUCCGCGGCGUCCUCCGGCGGGGAGACUAGCGGCGGCGCCGCCAUCGAAUCUGGCUAGGCCGCCGACGCUGACCUGCAACGGCGAGGCAGACCGCAGUCAGAUUUGGCCAGGCAGAGGUCUCCAUCGGGAGGGCCACCAGUGUGGUCCGAGCCUGCUCAGGCGUGGAUAUGAGCUCCACCGACGGAUCUUCUUUGCUCCUUUCCAAGUUCAUAAAUCGGUUACUAUUUCUUUUCUUGCUCCUCCACCUCACAGAUUUUUUUUUCUCAGAACGAAAAUUACCGCUGGGGCGGCGGCGUUAUGCUCGCCGUGGCAGCGUGGCUGGCGGCACCGGUUGGGCAACGCUGAGGAGGAGGAGCUGGAGAUGGCCGCCGACGCUGCUCUGGAACCCUCCACCUACUCUAAUCCUCACCAACUCUCAACGCCACACCGGCGAGCUCCGGCCCAGGAAUCCUCCGGCGGGAUGGAUCCAAGAGGGUCGCCAUUGUAGCCUGUCUCCAGCGGCAUCAAACCGCGCGACGAAGAUGGCUCCAAGCCGGUACUCGAUGGCGCCUGCCUCCGGCGGCGUCGGGUUGGCGAAACAAACAGGCAGAGCUGAUGCCGGGGGACCUCGCCGAUUGCGUCAAGGUGGGCGCAGUCAUCUUCUCCAGGUGGUGCGGCCCAGACGCAGGACUCCCCGAGGAUGUUGCAUCGAAGUGGAGCUUCUGCCGAAUCCUUUUUUUUCGAAGUGGAGAUGCAUGUAGUAGUUAGGUCUUGAUCCAGUUCUUGUUAUGCAAAGUCAGAGAUUUGAAAUCAGACCAGACUAUAUGCCCAUGCCACUGUUUUUUGAUCCAGUUCUUGAUUCGUUCCCCUUGUUCAGCGGAGGAGAAACAGGGAACUCGAGAAGGGGAGUUGGGGCUGGAUCGCCGGCGGCAAAGGCCGGACCAAAGGUGGCGCAUCCAUGAUUGCCAAACAUGAAUGGCAGCCACCAUCCAUGUAACCCAUUCCUGUCAUUUCCCUCAAUCCCAUUAUUUUUUGCCCUAUUUCCCUUGGAGAAGGUUAGUGACUAGCAAGUGAAGUCCGCAGUUGCAGAUCGCCAAAUGAGACAUGAUCAAUCUCCCGAUCUAAUAUGGGGUAAAGUACAAGGAACAAUGUAACACUAAAAAUUGCUAGUUAGACAUGCAAAUCUAGUGGUGAACUUUCUUUUCAGUUGCAGUAGAUCGUUUACAGUAAAGUACACUGAAGUUGUACUCUUUAUGAUUGUGUUAAUCUAUUUUGGGUUGUAAUCUUUAUUACUGUGUUCAUCUAUUUUAGGCUGCAGCAUGUUUUAUCCAGUGAAUAUAUACUUUUUAUUACCGUGAUAAUAUAUUUUGGGCUGCAACAUGUUUUAGCAAAUUGACUGAAUGAUAAUGCACUCGGCUACAGCCCAGCCUUGUCCAUGACUGCGCGUGUGUUCUUCAGGUAGCUUCUUGCAGGAGACCAGCUCUUGGCGCUUGGAGAUGGGGUGAGCAUCAAGGGACAAGCACGGCAGCUAUGCUUCAACGUGCCAUAGCUCUGGACUCAACAUCGGCGACCACCGUGGCACCUAAUUUGCCGGGCAAGCAUGGAUGAUCUCUCCGGCGGCACCAUGUCCAGUAGGAGGCGCCGACCACUGACGAUGCAGGUGCUGACCUCUGAGAUCCUCAUGUGACGAUGCAGGUGCCGACCUCUGAUUUUAUACUGAUGAGAUCUGGGUUGUGAGUUAGUGUAAUGCAUCAACAUUAUGCACUUUUAUUCAUGUACUUCAGCUACCGUGUUCAAGUCUUGUAUAAAAAUUAGAUUUUUUAUUGAAGAGAAAACUGUGUAUUAUUAUCCCUGUAUGCCGAACAGUACAACUUGGUAUUGUUCAGGUUGACCGGGAACAAGAAAAGAAAUUCCAAAAAACAAA